AUGGCGUGGCUCCUGCUUCUCUUUGCCCUUCUCAGCUACUGCUCAGGUGUCAUUUCACAGACUAUAACUCAGCCAGCCUCUGAGUCUGUGUCCCUGGGCCAAACCAUGAAGCUCUCCUGCUCUAGAAGUAGUGGUGGUAGCUGGAGCAGCUUUGGCUGGUAUCAACAGAAACCUGGACAGGCUCCUCGCUUUGUGUGGUUUGGCUCCAGCACCAGGGGAGAAGGGAUCCCAGAUCGGUUCACUGGUUCAGCCUCUGGGAACAAUGGCUAUUUAACCAUCUCCAACACUCAGGCUGAAGAUGAGGCAGUUUAUCACUGUGGUGCCUGGGAGAGGACUGGUAGCUGGAAGUAUCACCGUGAUACAAUCUGA
Podarcis raffonei (Aeolian wall lizard) is the source of this 369-nucleotide non-coding RNA. NCBI's taxonomy places the organism in Eukaryota, Metazoa, Chordata, Lepidosauria, Squamata, Lacertidae. The record is from the annotation of a RefSeq genome assembly.